AACGCACAUUGCGCUCGAGGCCUCGGCCGAGAGCAUGUCUGCCUCAGCGUCGAUGUAUACCCCUCACAACUGCCUACCCUAACACGGUAGCCACCUGUAGACCUGGCCGUCUCGUGUAUUUGCUCAUUCCAACGAAUGUUUUACAGCGAGUCGGUCGAAGCGAAGACGCGCACCAGGACCAUUGCAUCCUAACACGAUGCAGGGCCGCAAUCGGGUAGGGACUGCCUUGCUAACACCAAGGCUCCAUACUCUUUUGUUGGCUUGUAUGGCACUGUUAACUGCGCUCUCAACCGGGAAUCCACACACGUAAUCGUGUGUUUACAUCUUCGACCUGAGAUCAGGCAAGAACACCCGCUGAACUUAA
RNAcentral lists this unclassified non-coding RNA (364 nucleotides) under uncultured fungus. RNAcentral's name for it is "partial contains 5.8S ribosomal RNA, internal transcribed spacer 2, and large subunit ribosomal RNA". Lineage: Eukaryota; Fungi. The record is from RNAcentral.